RNAcentral lists this ribosomal RNA (299 nucleotides) under Biecheleria sp. RCC5521. RNAcentral describes it as "partial small subunit ribosomal RNA". It matches the Rfam family "Eukaryotic small subunit ribosomal RNA", at positions 627 to 930 of the family's 1831-position model. Lineage: Eukaryota; Dinophyceae; Suessiales; Biecheleriaceae. The record is from RNAcentral.
CUCGUAGUUGGAUUUCUGCCGAGGAUGACCGGUCCGCCCUGUGGGUGUGCAUCUGGCUCAGCCUUGGCAUCUUCCUGAAGAACGUAGCUGCACUUGACUGUGUGGUGCGGUAUUUAGGACAUUUACUUUGAGGAAAUUAGAGUGUUUCAAGCAAGCGCACGCUUUGAAUACAUUAGCAUGGAAUAAUAAGAUAGGACCUCGGUUCUAUUUUGUUGGUUUCUAGAGCUGAGGUAAUGAUUGAUAGGGAUAGUUGGGGGCAUUCGUAUUUAACUGUCAGAGGUGAAAUUCUUGGAUUUGUU